RNAcentral lists this non-coding RNA (185 nucleotides) under Gammaproteobacteria bacterium. RNAcentral describes it as "6S RNA". It matches the Rfam family "6S / SsrS RNA". Rfam says of the family: E. coli 6S RNA was the first non coding RNA to be sequenced, but its function was unknown until recently. It consists of 184 nucleotides that fold into an extended hairpin structure with a large single-stranded internal bulge. Lineage: Bacteria; Pseudomonadati; Pseudomonadota; Gammaproteobacteria. RNAcentral also lists the same sequence under 1 other name. The record is from RNAcentral.
UGUCUACUGUAGUAUUUGAUCACCGGGACUCGAUCCUUGAUCCUUAACUCACGACCCUGGGAGCUAAUUUUAUUAAAGGCGUGUGCAGGUCCGAUUAUCGGAAAGCCUAAACCUUUAGUUCAGGCUCCCCUCCUUGAACUCUAUGGUUCAGGGACGUUGGCCCGACCGGUACAUACGGUAGACAC